RNAcentral lists this ribosomal RNA (484 nucleotides) under uncultured bacterium. RNAcentral's name for it is "bacterial SSU rRNA". It matches the Rfam family "Bacterial small subunit ribosomal RNA", at positions 28 to 507 of the family's 1533-position model. The record is from RNAcentral.
GAUGAACGCUAGCGACAGGCUUAAUACAUGCAAGUCGAGGGGCAGCGCGGGUAGCAAUACCUGGCGGCGACCGGCAAACGGGUGCGGAACACGUACGCAACCUUCCCAUAACUGGUGAAUAGCCCUCCGAAAGGAGGAUUAAUACACCGUAAGAUAACGAAGAGGCAUCUCUUUGUUAUUAUAGCUACGGCGGUUUUGGAUGGGCGUGCGCCUGAUUAGGUAGUUGGCGGGGUAACGGCCCACCAAGCCUACGAUCAGUAACUGGUGUGAGAGCACGACCAGUCACACGGGCACUGAGACACGGGCCCGACUCCUACGGGAGGCAGCAGUAAGGAAUAUUGGUCAAUGGACGCAAGUCUGAACCAGCCAUGCCGCGUGAAGGAUGAAGGUCCUCUGGAUUGUAAACUUCUUUUAUCUGGGACGAAAAAAGGGCUUUCUAGCUCACUUGACGGUACCAGAGGAAUAAGCACCGGCUAACUCCGUG